GUGAUGGAGUGACCAGCGGACCAUGACCUGAUGACCAAGCAGUACAGUAGCAACUUUGUGUCGAAGGUACAUCAAUUACAUGAGCGGCUGGAUGAAAAGCAAGGCAACAGGGUGCUAGGUUUAAGCAAGUAUUGUCCGUCACAUCCAUCGAUCAAAAUUGACAAAGGAGUAACAAACUACGCAGAGGCUGGAUCAAACACGUACACACCAUUUUAUUCUUGCGCACGAUACAUGAACACACGAUUGUACUCGAGAAAAAAAAAGAUACAUGAAACACACGGUUCGCACGGAGCUGCUCGACGGACGUCGUACCAGUAGCCAUGGUAGGAGCUCGUACGUGGUAGUACGUUACGUAUUAGUAGCAUAGGCGGCGUGGCGCUGCCUAGCACGCCGCCGGCGGCGGCGGCGGAGGCCCGGCUCCUAGCACUUCGGUACGGGGACGCCGCAGCUGACGAGGGUCUUGCGGGCGUUGGGGCUGUUGAUGUAGCUGGAGUACGCGCGGUUGUGCGCGAACUGGCAGAAGCACCCCCGCUGACUCUUUAGGUUGUUGCAGCACGUCUUGGACGGCGGGGUCCCGCUCACGAUCGGGGAGGCGCACACCGCCAGGUUCCCGGCGUUGCACUGCGCCGCUCCGCCCGUUGCCAUCGCCGCCGCCACCAGCGCCACCAGCACGAGCAUCGCUGCGGCCUUCGCCAUAUGGCUCGACUUUCUUUUGAUCGCAAACGUACGUGCCGCGGUGGUGGUGGUGGAAGUGUGUG
This 758-nucleotide long non-coding RNA is filed under the name Triticum aestivum (bread wheat). RNAcentral describes it as "long non-coding RNA (TAES_LNC021608)". The record is from RNAcentral. Lineage: Eukaryota; Viridiplantae; Streptophyta; Magnoliopsida; Poales; Poaceae.